GAGUUGAUUGGGCAGUUGCGUGCUAUUAAUUUAGUAUGAGGAAAGUCCGAGCAGCACAGAGCAGGAUAACGGCUAACGGCCGCCGAGGGUAACCUUAGGAACAGUGCAACAGAAAUAAACCGCCGUGCAAACGGCAAGGGUGGAAAGGCGAGGUAAGAGCUCACCGAGCAGGUGGAGACAUCUGCUGCCAUGUAAACUCUAUCCGCUGCAACACAGAAUCGGAAGUUGUUUGCUCGACACAUAAUCCGGAAAUGUGGCUAGAGCGUAUCGGCAACGAUGCGUCGAGAUAGAUAAUUGCCCACGACAGAACUCGGCUUACAGAUCAACUCG
This 330-nucleotide RNase P RNA is filed under the name uncultured Eubacterium sp. Its description in RNAcentral is "Bacterial RNase P class A". It matches the Rfam family "Bacterial RNase P class A". From Rfam's summary of the family: Ribonuclease P (RNase P) is a ubiquitous endoribonuclease, found in archaea, bacteria and eukarya as well as chloroplasts and mitochondria. Its best characterised activity is the generation of mature 5'-ends of tRNAs by cleaving the 5'-leader elements of precursor-tRNAs. Lineage: Bacteria; Bacillati; Bacillota; Clostridia; Eubacteriales; Eubacteriaceae. The record is from RNAcentral.